RNAcentral lists this ribosomal RNA (251 nucleotides) under Candidatus Glomeribacter gigasporarum. RNAcentral's name for it is "partial 16S ribosomal RNA". It matches the Rfam family "Bacterial small subunit ribosomal RNA", at positions 194 to 420 of the family's 1533-position model. Lineage: Bacteria; Pseudomonadati; Pseudomonadota; Betaproteobacteria; Burkholderiales; Burkholderiaceae. The record is from RNAcentral.
CAAAAGAGGAAGGCGGGGGACCGGAUGGGUGACCAUUGGGCCUCGCGCUAGAGGGGCGGCCGAUGUCGGAUUAUGCUAGUUGGUGGGGUAAGGGCCUACCAAGGCGGUGAUCCGUAGCGGGUCUGAGAGGAUGAUCCGCCACACUGGGACUGAGACACGGCCCAGACUCCUACGGGAGGCAGCAGUGGGGAAUUUUGGACAAUGGGGGCAACCCUGAUCCAGCAAUGCCGCGUGUGUGAAGAAGGCCUUCG